CCUACGGGCUGCACCAGUGGGGAAUAUUGCACAAUGGGCGCAAGCCUGAUGCAGCCAUGCCGCGUGUGUGAAGAAGGCCUUCGGGUUGUGAAGCACUUUCAGCGGGGAGGAAGGCGUUGAGGUUAAUAACCUCAGCAAUUGACGUUACCCGCAGAAGAAGCACCGGCUAACUCCGUGCCAGCAGCCGCGGUAAUACGGAGGGUGCAAGCGUUAAUCGGAAUUACUGGGCGUAAAGCGCACGCAGGCGGUCUGUCAAGUCGGAUGUGAAAUCUCCGGGCUCAACCUGGGAACUGCAUUCGAAACUGGCAGGCUAGAGUCUUGUAGAGGGGGGUAGAAUUCCAGGUGUAGCGGUGAAAUGCGUAGAGAUCUGGAGGAAUACCAGUGGCGAAGGCGGCCCCCUGGACAAAGACUGACGCUCAGGUGCGAAAGCGUGGGGAGCAAACAGGAUUAGAUACCCUAGUAGUC
Molecule: ribosomal RNA, 465 nt
Filed under: uncultured bacterium
Lineage: Bacteria
Description: bacterial SSU rRNA
Rfam family: Bacterial small subunit ribosomal RNA
Source: RNAcentral